Molecule: long non-coding RNA, 186 nt
Organism: Sycon ciliatum
Lineage: Eukaryota; Metazoa; Porifera; Calcarea; Leucosolenida; Sycettidae
Exons: 3
Source: RefSeq, a predicted model, not a curated record
CGACGCGACGCCAUCCCUCUCUCAAUCGCAGCUGAAGCUCACAGCUCCGUUAUUAGGAGACAGGAGAAGUAAAGGAGUGACAGUACGGAAUUCACGGUGCUCACUGUCCGUGUUGCACAUGUGAAUAGUCGGAAAGCUAUUCGUGACGGUCACUGUCCAUGUUGCAGCUGGGAAUAGUCGGAAAGG